RNAcentral lists this ribosomal RNA (529 nucleotides) under uncultured bacterium. RNAcentral's name for it is "partial 16S ribosomal RNA". It matches the Rfam family "Bacterial small subunit ribosomal RNA", at positions 355 to 874 of the family's 1533-position model. The record is from RNAcentral.
UGGGGAAUUUUGGACAAUGGGCGAAAGCCUGAUCCAGCAAUGCCGCGUGUGUGAAGAAGGCCUUCGGGUUGUAAAGCACUUUUGUCCGGAAAGAAAUCCUUGGCUCUAAUACAGUCGGGGGAUGACGGUACCGGAAGAAUAAGCACCGGCUAACUACGUGCCAGCAGCCGCGGUAAUACGUAGGGUGCAAGCGUUAAUCGGAAUUACUGGGCGUAAAGCGUGCGCAGGCGGUUUGCUAAGACCGAUGUGAAAUCCCCGGGCUCAACCUGGGAACUGCAUUGGUGACUGGCAGGCUAGAGUAUGGCAGAGGGGGGUAGAAUUCCACGUGUAGCAGUGAAAUGCGUAGAGAUGUGGAGGAAUACCGAUGGCGAAGGCAGCCCCCUGGGCCAAUACUGACGCUCAUGCACAAAAGCGUGGGGAGCAAAACAGGAUUAGAUACCCUGGUAGUCCACGCCCUAAAACGAUGUCAACUAGUUGUUGGGGGAUUCAUUUCCUUAGUAACGUAGCUAACGCGUGAAGUUGACCGCCU